RNAcentral lists this transfer RNA (55 nucleotides) under Dipodomys ordii (Ord's kangaroo rat). The record is from Rfam by way of RNAcentral. Lineage: Eukaryota; Metazoa; Chordata; Mammalia; Rodentia; Heteromyidae.
GGCGCUGUGGCUCAAGUGGUAGAGCACUAGCCUUAAGAGCUGAGGAACAGUGCCC